Molecule: long non-coding RNA, 874 nt
Filed under: Homo sapiens (human)
Lineage: Eukaryota; Metazoa; Chordata; Mammalia; Primates; Hominidae
Description: HSALNT0012251
Source: RNAcentral
GUAAAAUCAGGGUUCUCGGGCAAGAAAAGAUCUUACACUCUGGGGGUGAGACAGCUUCCCCUCUUUUCUUCCUCUUCCCACUUUGUCCUUUUCCAAGUAAGAGAUAGAGUCACCCCAUCUCCACUCCUGCCAAGUUCACUUCACUGCCCUUUACUGGCCUAUUGCCUUUGCCCUGCACUGGGCCCAGGGAACCUCCCACUGUCCUCAGUGGGCGGGGCUACAGGUAGAAUGUAUUUUGAGGGUCCCAGGAGUUCAUAAUUGCAGGCCUUGCCUCAACACAGAGCCUGGUGUUUUGCAGAACACUUGCAGAGCCAUUAUCUCUGUGAGCCUUAUGGCAGUUGUGGCUAGGCAGGGAAGGGACCACUUAUCGCCCCACUUGUAGAUGAGGACCCAAAGCCUCCCAGAGGUAGGUAGAGACAUGCCCGGAAGCAGGAACAGAAUCAGAUCCAUGUUCUCCAAAUUCUAGCCCCCUUUCUCCCAAACUUAUUCUGGACAGUUUGUCCUGUCCCUGAUGAUAGGCUUGGAUCAGGGGUUGCAGGUCUAGGGGCCUGCGAACCAGCCCCCUGAGCAGCUGGGCAGCGGGGAAGCCUCAGUGACUGGCCCCUACCUAGACUGGGCCAUUUCCCCAGCUGCCAGCCAGCUCCUACCCCAGCAAAGGCCCUGUCUCUCCUGAGGGAUGCCAUAAUCAGGGCCCAGAGGACAGUGGUGAGCAACAAGGCCACUGCCAGAAGAGGCCAACCUGGGGCUGUGGGUGUGAUGAAGAGCGCUGUUCCCCUCCUUUUUCUCCCCUCUUACUCUUUGGCCAGCCAGGCCCUGCCCACUCACUGUCCCCUAGGGCAGUGGAUUUUAAGGAGGCUUGGCUCCUCCCUGUCGG